CUGUAAUUGCUGCACAUGGAGGUGCAGCAAGCAGAAAUCCCUGCACCUCCACCUAACAGGCUCCAGGGAAGGACUUCAGGCCAGGGAAUCCACUCCUCCAGCCCACACUCUCUGUAAGUAUAAGAGUGUAUGUCUGUACGUAACUGCCUGAAACCGUGUGUGUGUGUGUGUGUGUGUGUGUGUAACUGCCUGAAACCGUGUGUGUGUGUGUGUGUAACUGCCUGAAACCGUGUGUGUGUAACUGCCUGAAAC
Non-coding RNA from Pelobates cultripes (western spadefoot toad), 252 nucleotides. The record is from the annotation of a GenBank genome assembly. NCBI's taxonomy places the organism in Eukaryota, Metazoa, Chordata, Amphibia, Anura, Pelobatidae.